CCCCGUCCAGCUGCUGCCAAAAUCGGGAGGCGGGUUGGGUAACAGGAAAUAGUGUGGGGGUGAGGAGGCAUGUUAAAAGCGGAAGUUCAUGUUUCACAGCGAACGUCCCAUCUCACAGAGGCACAAGCCAGAUGCCAGGGGCAGCCGGUGCCGAGAAGGAGAGGCGAGAGUCACCCCGAGGCCAGAGUGAGCGGACGAGGGGGCCGCGCCAGGCCAGGACUCGGUGAUGCCGACGGACACGAGUUCUGGGGGAAGGCACGACGCUCAGGGGGCCUGGCAUAUGCGGUGGCGUGUGCGCUUGUGCAGGGACGUGGAGAUGGCUCCAGAAGGCAGCGUGGCAAGUGGACGGGGUGCCUGCAAAUUCUGAGUCUGUUGCAAUUCUUCGGGUAUCCACCACCCAGAAUGAGCAAAUGUUAGCAUUUUGUCAUCAUUGCUUCAGAAUAUUUGCAAGUAGAAAAAGCAGAGAGCGUUACAGAUGAAGCUGACUUUCCCUCCUCCCUCCUCCCUCCUCCAUCUGCUGUCUCAGGGAACCAGUUGACACCACGAAUGGGAGUUCCUGGGAUAUUCUGUACGUUCUGGAUACUGAUCCUUGGACUGUUUCAUGGGUUGCAAACAUACUUUCCAGGCUGUGACUGCCUUUUGGCUUUGCUCAUGGUGUCUCUACACAGAUUCACCAACAAGGAGUUUAUCGGCGACUUGGGCCAGGGCCGUGAGCUGGGGAGUAGAAGCUGGCUGGCCAGUGGCUGGUGGGGUGAUGAGGCGGCGGCAGGACUUCUUUCAACAGCACAGCUUAAACGGUCAGGUGAGGGGGUACUGAGAACCAUUCUUUUUUCUUUUAUUAAAAAUGUUAUGCCUUUAAGGUGUACAACUUGAUGUUUUGAUAUACGUAUACAGUGUGAAAUGACCACCACGAUCCAUGAAGAUAUGUCUCACCUCUGCAUAGCUACCAUCUGUAUGUGUGUUGAGAAGAUUGAAUAAGGUCUAUCCUCUUAGCGAAUUUCAAGUAUACAAUACAGUGUACAGUAUUGUUAGCUGUUGUCACCAUGCUUUACAUUAGAUCUCUAGAACUUAUUCAUCUUGUAUAACUGAAACUUUGUACCCUUUGGCCAACAUCACCCCAUUUCCCCCAACCCUAGCCUCUGGUAAUCACCAUUCUAUUGUUUCUGUGAACUUGGCUUUUUUCGAUUCCACAUAAAAGUGAAAUCAUGCAGUAUUUCUCUUUCUGUAUCUUGCUUAUCUCACUUAGCAUCACGUCCCGCAGCUCCAUCCAUGUUGUCAGGAUUCCUUCUUUUCAAAGGCUGAAUAACAGCCCAUCGUGUGCGCGUGUAUCCAGCUCUGUCUAUCGCUGUCUCUCUCUCACUCGUGGGAGUGUAAGUAGGUGCAGCCGCUAUGAAAAGCAGUAUGGAGGUUCCUCAGAAAAUUAAAAAUAGAACCCCCAUGUGACCCAGCAGUCCCACCUCUGGGUGUCUAUCCAAAGGAACUGACAUAAGGGUGGGGACGAGACAGCUGCACCCCGUGGUCACUGCAGCCUUCUUCACAAUGGCCAAGACAGGGGCACAACUUAAAUACCCUUCAACGGAGGGAGGGAUGUUUUCUUUAGGACUCAAGAGGCCGGGUAGAGAAAAGAGC
Molecule: long non-coding RNA, 1629 nt
Organism: Diceros bicornis minor
Lineage: Eukaryota; Metazoa; Chordata; Mammalia; Perissodactyla; Rhinocerotidae
Exons: 4
Source: RefSeq, a predicted model, not a curated record